GAUGAACGCUGGCGGCGUGCCUAAUACAUGCAAGUCGAGCGAACAGACGAGGCGCUUGCUCCUCUGACGUGAGCCGCAGACGUGUGAGUAACACGUGUAUACUCUCCCUAUAAGACUGGGAUCACUUCGGGAAACCGGCGCUAAUACCGGAUAAUAUAUUGAACCGCAUGGUUCAAUAGUGAGAGACGGUUGUGCUGUCACUUAUAGAUGCAUCUGGGCCGCAUUGGCGAGUUGGUAGGGUAACGGCUUACCAGGGCAACGAUGCGUAGCCGACGGGAUAGGGGGAUCGCCGACACUGGAACUGAGACACGGUCAUGGGUACUACGGGAGGGCGCAGUAGGCAAUGGUCCGCAAAGGGCGAAAGCCUGACGGAGCGACGCGGAGUGUGAUAUGAAGGUCUCCGGAUCGUAAAACCCGGUUUUGAGGUAUGAACCGAUUUGUAAGUAGCUAUAGACUGCUUGACGGUAACGGAUCAAAAAGCCCCGGCUAACUACGUG
RNAcentral lists this ribosomal RNA (497 nucleotides) under uncultured bacterium. RNAcentral's name for it is "partial 16S ribosomal RNA". It matches the Rfam family "Bacterial small subunit ribosomal RNA", at positions 28 to 507 of the family's 1533-position model. The record is from RNAcentral.